GUCAGCACUGACGUCAGUUACUGACUCAAUAUAAAUCAGCCAUUAGGGGUGGCAAAAAUUGGAUGGCCUACUAGCGGCAAAUUUGUAAAUCCACCACUGUCUACAGUGUUACUAGAUAUGUUUAGUCUUGUAUAAGAAACUGUCUAGGACCUAGACUCUAGUGUUCUAAAAAAUAACGAUCUUGUAUCGCCAUUUCGCAAAACCGGAAAAAUAUUUAUGAACAGCCUUUGUUCACAAAUGCCUAUUACAUAAAAGCCUAUUACUUAAAUAAAACGAAAUUCUUAUUCAUAUAUUAUAUUUUAUUGGAAUUAAAGAUCAACUUAGUAAUAUAGGUAAACAAGUAACAGGAACUAGCACCUGAAAUGAUAAACUAAAUAACAAACAAUGGUUACGUUUAAACAACAAACGAGUAGUACUAAGGUAACAAAAAGCAUAAAUGCAAUUAUUAGAGGCAGAGAGCACGCGAAGCUGGAAAUCAAAUAUUACAUAAAUAAAAUAGUUACUGAUAAGAACUAAGAGCAAAUAAGAAUUGAUAAGAGACAGUCACAGGGCGAUAGCGAGCGCGGACAGUCGCCGCUGCAGACAAGUUACACAAAUAGUUACAUCAUUAAUUUCACCAUUAUAAUCAACAAGUCUAAUGCAAUAAGUGCACUACUUCACAUAACAGAUUUUCGUCGAGCAUAGCGGGCGAGGCGCGAUGUCAGACGAAGGUUUCGCCGUCCACGCAGUCCGGGCGCCGCGCCGGGCUCCGCGCCGGGCCCCGCGUCGAGCCCCGCGCCGGGCCGCACCAUUGCACGUCUGUGGGACGCAUACGUGCCGCACAAACAACCACUUGUGUAAAAAUUGCGAAUCAAACCCCCGCACUCAGUGUCUCUGAGUGUGUCCAAAAAGCAGCAAUAGUCCCCUAACUUACUAUUUAUAGUAUAUUUGCGUUAGUAAUAAAUUUCCUUAAUUCCAAACUGCGAAACAUGAACCACGAAGAGGGAAGGAGGAACGCGCUGGGCUUACUCCCUCACGCUGUGAGUGCACAUAUCAAUAGUGAUACUUCAUCUGUGUGGCUCGACUGUACCGUGAACAUGUCACUUCACUUAUUUAUUAUUUUUACAGAAUUGUUUUGUUUCAGUGUCUUCAUACUUAUGUAUGGUGUACAUAUAUAUAUUAUACCUACGUGACUGUUACUGAGUAUCUGUGAGUAGGCACAUUACAUUUAGUUGAAUCAUCAACAGAUUUUAGUUUCAUGUUUUUACAGUAUUCACAGAAACGAACUUCACGUACCCUUUUCUAAAGAAACAUUAUUAACUCCAGUCAGUAAAAUGAAAUUUCUAGUGUUGCAGGUUUUUAGUUCGUAAUAAAUAGUGAUGUGGCUGAAUCUAGUUUUACCAAUUUAAGUUAGUAAACAUUUUUCUUUAUUUAAUAUUAAAUUGCCUUUUCAAAAUACUCUAACACCCCAUUCUGCAUUCACGGAGAAAAAUACUGAUAAAAGAUAUCCCACUACGUGCGUUUGAAGCAGAAGCAGAGGCAGGGGCAACAAUCAGGGUCACGGGUUAAAAUGGUAGCUGCACCUCUGGGUAACAUAACAUUUUGUCAAGUGGUUCAUUUGCCGUACUACGUUACUUAUGCCUGGCGCACAUGUUUACAAGCUUUUGUAGGUAGAGUAUCAAUGCGAAAGCUGUGCCAUUCUGAUAAAUUUAGGGGAUGUAUCCACAUUUUAGAUAUCCUCUUCUUUGGAAGUGACAUCGUCCAUACACUAUGGAAUUAAGGCACUAAACUUGUAAACAUGGCAUUGGUUUGGCUCAAAAAUAAAGUCGGUUAAGUAAGGUGGGGCGCAGCCGCGCGGCUCGCGGCCGACGCGAAGCUGUUCAAGUGCAGAGUACACGUGCGCCACUUGCCUUAUCUCAAUAAUCGCGCUUGUCGCUGCCCCGCCAAGGCAACCACUUCGCACAUGUUUCUAAACAUCGCGCUCUUCAUUUCAUAUUGCUCAAUAUAAGAAUUAUCCUCUUACAAUAGAUGUUUUUGAUAGUAUCUACUUAUAUACUUUCUCACAAUUAAACGAGGUGGCAAAGAAACGAGACAGAGCAGGCUUGCUGCUAGUUGCAAUCAUGACAAAAGAUAGUUGUGUGGUAAAGGCGGCAGAACGCGAGGGGAUCGGGCGGCAGACGCGCGCAGGUACUUACAGAUGUGCGUGUUGGCGGCGAGCGGCGCGUGCAGCGGCGACUCGGCCAGCUGCGGCGCCGCGGCCGGCUGCGGCGCGUCGCCCGGCGCCGCCUCGCACAGCGAAGUCUCCGACGGGUACUCGAACGUGCGCGUCAGCGAGUCGUCGAACUGCAGCUUCAGCUGGAACACCAACACAUCACUCCUCACUACCGGGACACUCGCGAGGAUGCACCUUACCAACCAUACUCAUACUAUUCAAUAUUAAUUAUAAUCAUUGACUGUCA
Helicoverpa zea (corn earworm) is the source of this 2438-nucleotide long non-coding RNA. RefSeq lists it as uncharacterized. Lineage: Eukaryota; Metazoa; Arthropoda; Insecta; Lepidoptera; Noctuidae. The transcript is spliced from 2 exons. The record is from RefSeq and is a predicted model, not a curated record.